Long non-coding RNA from Passer domesticus (house sparrow), 819 nucleotides. RefSeq lists it as uncharacterized. NCBI's taxonomy places the organism in Eukaryota, Metazoa, Chordata, Aves, Passeriformes, Passeridae. The transcript has 3 exons. The record is from RefSeq and is a predicted model, not a curated record.
UGUUUCUAUCACUCUCAAAUGCAGUCCCAGAUGUUACUCCCUUUAACAGCACAUCAAGAAUGUACUGAUUUUCAAAUAUAUGUGUUUGGGUUACUCAAAAAAGGAAAGUAAAAGAAAAGAAAACCACAGUAAAGCAUGUUAUGCACCAACAAGAAGAAGGAGAUGUGACCACAUGGUGUACCCCAGAGGUGGCUGUCAGGAGAACUACAGUUGAGCUUACAGGCACUGGGCCUAUAAAAAACCAAUGGUAAUGUUUUAUUUUAAUUAUGGGUCUGAAUGUGUUUCAUUUAUUCUUUCAGUGGCUUCAAUCUCAUAUUGGUCACUAGGGCCAUAAAAUAUGUAGUAUGGUUUAUAAUCCACAGUGCCCUUUGUUGCUUUUGGAGUAAGCGGAAGGCCGCUCAUACAGUGCAUUGUGCAAACAGGCCUAGUAAUCUUCCUCUUGCAUGAGCAGCUGUUGGUUAAAACACAAUGUGUUUUCUGCUGCUGUGUUACUGGGAUGCCUCAUGCAGGCAAGACUAAAUUCCAAAGCAAAUGCUCCAACAGAAGCAGUAUGCACUGUGAUGUCAGCUGAUGCACGGCUCUGGCCCUUGGCACCAAGAAAGAAGAGUCCACAGAAGACCAUCCAGCCCACAGAUCUCAGAGACCUGAGUCAGCUGGCAGAUGGUGUGGAGCACAUAGUUCUGCUAUUAAGAGCUGAGGAAGUUUAAAGAGCCAUGAAGAGACCCCAAGUUCUACGGGUUGGGAACUGCAGUGAGUGAGCUCAUGCACUUUAAGCACCUUGGAAAUGUUGAAGUUUAAAACAGAAAGCCCACCUCAACA